AGUCGCAAUCUGAUGCUGGCGUUAGACACACUUUACCAAGAGGUACCCAGGCUGUUGGUCAAUCUCGUGGAGAUCAUGCAGAUCGACACGCUAAAACAAGUCA
Molecule: long non-coding RNA, 103 nt
Organism: Hippocampus comes (tiger tail seahorse)
Lineage: Eukaryota; Metazoa; Chordata; Actinopteri; Syngnathiformes; Syngnathidae
Exons: 2
Source: RefSeq, a predicted model, not a curated record